AUGACAUUAGUUGAACAGGAUUUGCUCCAUAAGAUUGUAGCACUGCAUCUUUUACCACAAAGGAGGCAAGCCCUUCAAUCUGGUUGAUGAGCCAGGACCUCUAGGUCAGAGCAUGAUUGACAUUUGACAGCCAGGAUGCUUGGGGUUGUUGCCAUCGAAUAGCAGUAAAGGAUCAUCCCUGACAGGUUUAGGCCUGGUCAGGGUGGCCCAGGCGGUUAGAUA
RNAcentral lists this small nucleolar RNA (222 nucleotides) under Dichanthelium oligosanthes. RNAcentral describes it as "Plant small nucleolar RNA U3". It matches the Rfam family "Plant small nucleolar RNA U3". Rfam says of the family: Small nucleolar RNAs (snoRNAs) are involved in the processing and modification of rRNA in the nucleolus. The record is from Rfam by way of RNAcentral. Lineage: Eukaryota; Viridiplantae; Streptophyta; Magnoliopsida; Poales; Poaceae.